UGUACUGUAUGGGCAUCUGUGCUCGGCAGUUUCCUCUUGCUAGAAUGUUUCAAGGACAGCCCUAUAGAAAUUCAAUAUCUAGCAUUGUUGAUUUUCUUGACUUUGUGCUUAUUAAACCUGGUAUUUCUAUGUAUGCAGUU
Rattus norvegicus (Norway rat) is the source of this 140-nucleotide small nucleolar RNA. Ensembl annotates it as small nucleolar RNA SNORA8. The record is from Ensembl. Lineage: Eukaryota; Metazoa; Chordata; Mammalia; Rodentia; Muridae.